GACGAACGCUGGCGGCGUGCUUAACACAUGCACGUCGCACGAAGUGGCGGACGGGUGAGUAACGCGUAAUCACCCUGCCCUUCAGAGGGGGACAACAGUUGGAAACGACUCCUAAUACCGCAUACUGGAGGAGGGGAUUUCGUCUGAUUAGCUCGUGGGAGGGGUAACGGCCCACCAAGGAGAUGAUCAGUAGCCGGUCUGCGAUGGUGAACGGCAACAGUGGGACUGAGACGCGGCCCAGACUCCUACGGGAGGCAGCAGUGGGGAAUCUUCUGUAAUGGACGAAAGUCUGACGGAGCAACGCCGCGUGAGUGAUGACUGCCUUCUGGGUGUAAAGCUCUGUUAAUCGGGACGCGGUACCGGAAUAGAAAGCCACGGCUAACUACGUGCCAGCAGCCGCGGUAAUAC
RNAcentral lists this ribosomal RNA (408 nucleotides) under uncultured bacterium. RNAcentral describes it as "partial 16S ribosomal RNA". It matches the Rfam family "Bacterial small subunit ribosomal RNA", at positions 28 to 526 of the family's 1533-position model. The record is from RNAcentral.